This 961-nucleotide long non-coding RNA is filed under the name Amborella trichopoda. Its description in RNAcentral is "long non-coding RNA (ATRI_LNC001831)". Lineage: Eukaryota; Viridiplantae; Streptophyta; Magnoliopsida; Amborellales; Amborellaceae. The record is from RNAcentral.
CCACUUUGACCGUCUGUAGUCUGGACAUAUUGUCUCAAAAAAACUUUCCAAAUAAUAUACUUUGAUGAAUUUUCAAGAAAUUCCAAGGACAUCAUCAUUGUUUUCACGGAUUUUUUUUACAUUUCGAUUAUUCGUAAAAUGUUGUACUAAGUUGGCCAAACAAAUUAAAGGCCUUAAGAGUAAGACCCCAAUAUUAUACUGGAAGCAGUCUAACAAAUGUUUGGAUGAUUAUACCUCAAAUUUCCUUUUACACACACACAUGCACUCAUGCAAUCACACCACGCAGCAUGCAGAUAUAUGUAUAUGCAUGUGUGUCUGUAUCAACCGCUAGUUCUUGUCAGUUUACCUUCCAGCAUAAAAGACAGAAAUGAAUCAGUUCUUCUGUCCACUGUAAUCCCUUUUCCAAGUAAUUUGCAUCAAGUCAUAAGAAGCCACAAAAUCUAUUCUAUUAAUCAAUAGCAACAGCUACAGCAAUACCACGUGUUAAGAAUUCUCCAUUUUCUUUGUUUUAUUAGAGAAGAAGGUAAAUGUUGUUUUAUUAAUAAAAAAAGAAACAUAAUAUACAAUCUGUAAUGAGAGAUGCCAUGAUGAUAACCCACAAGUAAAGAACAAAAAGGGAAACAGAAAAAGAAGCACACCCCACUUCCUUUUAGCCGAUGCAUCAACAAUUUCAUAUUUUGUUGCUAAGCAUUCUUUACCAGGAAACACAGCAUAGCGACAUACAUAAAUUUUUCUCCCCACGAUGAGAGGUGGAAGAAGCUUCCUGAGGAUCUCGCUGUUGAUUGAAAUAAAGUUCACCAUAACCCGGUAUGAUGCCAAUUAGUCGGCCAAGGGUUACACUGCUAUUAUCUCGAAAGAAGGAUCUCGUGGACUGCAAAACAGGGACAAAAGCAGGGAAUAUGCAAAUGCACAAAGAGAGAGAGAGAGAGAGAGAGAGAGAGAGAGAGAGAGAGAGGAGGCG